RNAcentral lists this ribosomal RNA (324 nucleotides) under uncultured bacterium. RNAcentral's name for it is "bacterial SSU rRNA". It matches the Rfam family "Bacterial small subunit ribosomal RNA", at positions 35 to 334 of the family's 1533-position model. The record is from RNAcentral.
GACGUAACGCUCGGCGGGCGGUGCCUAAUACAGUGCAAGUAGAACGCCGAAGUCGUGGUGCUUAGGCACUAGACGGAUGAGUUGCGAACGGGUGAGUAACGCGUAGGUAACCUGCCUCAUAGCGGGGGAUAACUAUUGGAAACGAUAGCUAAUACCGCAUAACAGUAUUUACCGCAUGGUAGAUGCUUGAAAGGAGCAAUUGCUUCACUAUGAGAUGGACCUGCGUUGUAUUAGCUAGUUGGUGAGGUAACGGCUCACCAAGGCAUCGGUACAUAGCCGACCUGAGAGGGUGAUCGGCCACACUGGGACUGAGACACGGCCCAG